RNAcentral lists this ribosomal RNA (253 nucleotides) under uncultured bacterium. RNAcentral describes it as "partial 16S ribosomal RNA". It matches the Rfam family "Bacterial small subunit ribosomal RNA", at positions 524 to 776 of the family's 1533-position model. The record is from RNAcentral.
UACAGAGGGGGCAAGCGUUGUUCGGAAUUACUGGGCGUAAAGGGCGCGUAGGCGGCCUUCUAAGUCGAACGUGAAAUCCCCGGGCUCAACCCGGGAACUGCGUCCGAUACUGGAAGGCUUGAAUCCGGGAGAGGGAUGCGGAAUUCCAGGUGUAGCGGUGAAAUGGGUAGAUAUCUGGAGGAACACCGGUGGCGAAGGCGGCAUCCUGGACCGGCAUUGACGCUGAGGCGCGAAAGCUAGGGUAGCAAACGGG